RNAcentral lists this ribosomal RNA (468 nucleotides) under uncultured bacterium. RNAcentral describes it as "partial 16S ribosomal RNA". It matches the Rfam family "Bacterial small subunit ribosomal RNA", at positions 28 to 507 of the family's 1533-position model. The record is from RNAcentral.
GACGAACGCUGGCGGCGUGCUUAACACAUGCAAGUCGAACGGAAAGGCCCUGCUUUUGUGGGUUGCUCGAGUGGCGAACGGGUGAGUAACACGUGAGUAACCUGCACUUGACUUUGGGAUAACUUCAGGAAACUGGGGCUAAUAUCGGAUAUGAUCUCCUGCUGCAUGGUGGGGGUUGGAAAGUUUCGGCGGUUGGGGAUGGACUCGCGGCUUAUCAGCUUGUUGGUGGGGUAGUGGCAUACCAAGGCUUUGACGGGUAGCCGGCCUGAGAGGGUGACCGGCCACAUUGGGACUGAGAUACGGCCCAGACUCCUACGGGAGGCAGCAGUGGGGAAUAUUGCACAAUAGGCGGGAGCCUGAUGCAGCAACGCCGCGUGCGGGAUGACGGCCUUCGGGUUGUAAACCAAUUUCGCCUGUAACGAAGAGUGAGUGACGGUAAUGGAUAAAGAAGCACCGGCUAACUACGUG